RNAcentral lists this ribosomal RNA (301 nucleotides) under uncultured bacterium. RNAcentral's name for it is "partial 16S ribosomal RNA". It matches the Rfam family "Bacterial small subunit ribosomal RNA", at positions 509 to 808 of the family's 1533-position model. The record is from RNAcentral.
CAGUAGCCACGGUAAUACAGAGGAUGCAAGCGUUAUCUAGAAUGAUUGGGCGUAAAGCGUCUGUAGAUGGCUUUUCAAGUCCGCCGUCAAAUCCCAGGGCUCAACCCUGGACAGGCGGUGGAAACUACCAAGCUGGAGUACGGUACGGGCAGAGGGAAUUUCCGGCGGAGCGGUGAAAUGCGUUGAGAUCGGAAAGAACACCAACGGCGAAAGCACUCUGCUGGGCCGACACUGACACUGAGAGACGAAAGCUAGGGAGUAAAUGGGAUUAGAUACCCGGGUAGUCCCUGUCUCUUAUACC